AACGAACGCUGGCGGCAUGCCUAACACAUGCAAGUCGAACGAGACCUUCGGGUCUAGUGGCGCACGGGUGCGUAACGCGUGGGAACCUGCCCUUAGGUUCGGAAUAACUCCCCGAAAGGGGUGCUAAUACCGGAUAAUGUCUUCGGACCAAAGAUUUAUCGCCUUUGGAUGGGCCCGCGUUGGAUUAGCUAGUUGGUAGGGUAAAAGCCUACCAAGGCGACGAUCCAUAGCUGGUCUGAGAGGAUGAUCAGCCACACUGGGACUGAGACACGGCCCAGACUCCUACGGGAAGCAGCAGUGGGGAAUAUUGGACAAUGGGCGAAAGCCUGAUCCAGCAAUGCCGCGUGAGUGAUGAAGGCCGUAGGGUUGUAAAGCUCUUUUACCCGGGAUGAUAAUGACAGUACCGGGAGAAUAAGCUCCGGCUAACUCCGUG
This 433-nucleotide ribosomal RNA is filed under the name uncultured bacterium. Its description in RNAcentral is "partial 16S ribosomal RNA". It matches the Rfam family "Bacterial small subunit ribosomal RNA", at positions 29 to 507 of the family's 1533-position model. The record is from RNAcentral.